ACAAACUUGGUCAUUUAGAGGAAGUAAAAGUCGUAACAAGGUUUCCGUAGGUGAACCUGCGGAAGGAUCAUCAUUGAAUAGAACUUUUCAAGCUUUUGAAGGGGGGGAGGAGGAGGGGGUGAGAGUUCUCACUCACUCUUUCUUUCCUUCUUCUGGCUUGCAAACAACUUUGAUACCCAAAAAGAAAGAUUCUUUCCUGCUUGUCUCUUCAGUCUUUUUGCAGUUCCAGCUUAUUUGUUUGGGUUGGUUGCUGUGAGAGGCGAGAGAGAAAAAGUGGAAAGAAGGGGGAAACCCCAGAAUAACACAUGUAAUUGCCUGAUAAGAAAGAGUUUGGUUUUGGGAAUAGAAAAUGAAACAACUUUCAACAACGGAUCUCUUGGCUCUCACAUCGAUGAAGAACGCAGC
Molecule: unclassified non-coding RNA, 405 nt
Filed under: uncultured fungus
Lineage: Eukaryota; Fungi
Description: partial contains small subunit ribosomal RNA, internal transcribed spacer 1, and 5.8S ribosomal RNA
Rfam family: Eukaryotic small subunit ribosomal RNA (bases 1-73)
Source: RNAcentral